UGCGUAGGCGGACUAAUAAGUCAGUGGUGAAAUCUCUCGGCUCAACCGGGAAACUGCCAUUGAUACUGUUAGUCUUGAGUUCGGUUGAGGUAGGCGGAAUGUGUAAUGUAGCGGUGAAAUGCUUAGAUAUUACACAGAACACCAAUUGCGUAGGCAGCUUACUAGACCGACACUGACGCUGAGGCACGAAAGCGUGGGUAGCGAACAGGACUAGAUACCCUGGUAGUCC
This 229-nucleotide ribosomal RNA is filed under the name uncultured bacterium. RNAcentral's name for it is "partial 16S ribosomal RNA". It matches the Rfam family "Bacterial small subunit ribosomal RNA", at positions 568 to 796 of the family's 1533-position model. The record is from RNAcentral.